This 482-nucleotide ribosomal RNA is filed under the name uncultured bacterium. RNAcentral describes it as "bacterial SSU rRNA". It matches the Rfam family "Bacterial small subunit ribosomal RNA", at positions 33 to 507 of the family's 1533-position model. The record is from RNAcentral.
GACGACGCUGGCGGCGUGCCUAACACAUGCAAGUCGAGCGGAGUCGAUCGACGGAAGCCUUCGGGCGGAAGAUGGUUGACUUAGCGGCGGAUGGGUGAGUAACGCGUGGGCAACCUGCCUCGAAGACCGGGAUAACAGCCCGAAAGGGCUGCUAAUACCGGAUGUGGUCAAGGAUCCGCAUGGAUUUUUGAUUAAAGGGGAAACCCGUUUCGAGAUGGGCCCGCGUCCUAUCAGCUAGUUGGUGAGGUAAAAGCCCACCAAGGCGACGACGGGUAGCCGGCCUGAGAGGGUGACCGGCCACACUGGAACUGAGACACGGUCCAGACUCCUACGGGGGGCAGCAGUGGGGAAUCUUCCACAAUGGGCGAAAGCCUGAUGGAGCGACGCCGCGUGAGCGAAGAAGGCCUUCGGGUUGUAAAGCUCUGUCUGGAGGGACGAAGGAAGUGACGGUACCUCCGGAGGAAGCCACGGCUAACUACGUG